AUUUGGGAGGUCGGACAGUGUCAUUAACAUUCCCUGAAGAAACAAAUGAUGAGGAACAUCAGACACCAGCAGAGACCAACAGACUGAACCUCGUGUCCUCCACCGGCCCAGAAUCAUGAGACGACGAUUGGACCAUAGACUGUUGGAAAGGUGGAAGACGUGGUGGCUAUCUGCAGUAAAGGUCAUCAUCCCAACUUCUCCAGGUGGCUGAACCAGCACAUUAUACUCAGAAUCAAAAUCCACAGCAGAAAAGAAAAAGAGGGGAUGAAAGAAUCAGACGUGAGAGGGACGUUUCUGUCAAUGACAAUGGAAUGGUAAAAUCAAGUGGAGAUGUAUAUGGAUAUAUACACAUAUAUACACAUACAUAAACACCACCAGAAUGUAAAAUAACCUGAGAUACUCUUUGCACCUCAUUUCCAGAAAACUGGCCACUGGGUGGAGGAUAUAAAAUGACGAUGGCAUGACAACAACAGUACAACAGCAUCUGACGGCCUUUAGUUUCCACCCCCUUUUAUCAACAUUAGCAGUACAAAAAAAGACAAAAACAAACAGUCAUCGAACCACAAAAAUCCUGAAACAGUAAUAUUAAAAACGUUGUUGUAAUCAGAGUUUCUGAGUUUUUAAAAGGCAUACGAAGAAACAAGCUUUUCAUCAAUAAAGGACAACCGAUAAAAAAUUUGAGAAUCAGAGGUUGAGGAGUCGGGCAGAUGACACGUGUGUGAUAGAAAGUGUUCUGCUCCACACUGUGACUGUAGACAUGAAGCAGCCGACCUGCUAGUUAAUGUACAAGGCUUUUCUCUGCUAUCACUCGGCCGUGGGGGGAUCAAACACCAACUCAAAGCUACAAUCCCACACACACCAUUUCUCCCUCAAAGUUACUGACACGUGACUGUGCUGAUCAUCGGGUUUUGGUAACUCAGGCACCAAACUUCUUUUACUGCUUUAACAGAUCAUCUUAAUUUAACAGCACUUAGCUGAACUGAACAGGUCGAUGUGUUGUUUUCUUAAGCGACCGUGUACAGUGUCAUAUAAUAAACAUUAAACGAUAAGUGCUCUAAAAAGCAAACAUUAAAAAUGGAUGGAAAUUAAAGAAAAAAAAAAGGAAAAAGAUGUAAACAAAUGAUAUUGCUCCACUGAUAUUUUAGGUAAAUCUGGCAGUAUAAUCGAUACCGAUCACAGUAAAUCCUCCCUCUGCCUGUGAUGUGUGUUUACCUAUUAAGGCCUGAGAAGAAUCAUAAAUCUGUCUGUAAGUGCUAUGACUGAGCUACAGCGACAGAUUCCAGCGACUCCUCCUUCCCUUUGACUGUUUUAUGGUGAGUGCGCCGUUAUGCCGAACGAGGAGCGUAAACUUUGUGCGGCUAAAAUUAUUUAGGCAGUAAAUCACAAGAGAAAAAUAAACUUGAAAUGCUUGGAGACCAUUACAAAAAAAAAGAAAAGAACACAACAUUCUCUCGGAACUAAAAUGCUCCCAAAGCAUCAAACUCUGAAUGUUGAUGAUAAACAAUUAUUAUCAAACAGCAAAUUAGGAAUUACACGAUCAACUCGGUCACCAUCAGUAAUAAAUACAGUAUUGUCUGCAUAUAAUUCUUCCAGCCUUGUAUCUGCUCCUCAGAGCCUCAGGAACCUUGUGUGUCUACCACCCAAUUAUUCAACUAUGGAAAUGGGCACGUUAUCUGUUGCUGUGCAUCAGCAAAGCCUUACUCUUUAAUAUCUCUCUGUACAUUAGUAUAUAGUUUUCUUCUCUUUACAGUACAGAAACUCCUCUUCACAUAUUCUUCCGGUUCUUCAUGUCAGCAGGAGCUAUGU
Non-coding RNA from Paralichthys olivaceus (Japanese flounder), 1806 nucleotides. Lineage: Eukaryota; Metazoa; Chordata; Actinopteri; Pleuronectiformes; Paralichthyidae. The record is from RefSeq and is a predicted model, not a curated record.